CUUAAGGAUAAAUUAUCUAUCAUCUGUAAAUGUACAUACAACUAUAUGCACAAAGACAAUAAAGAUCAUUGAGAUAUAAAUCAUGAAAGAGGGGCGAAAGAUACCAGAAGGACAUUCAAACUCAUACAUCGACAUGACAAAUUACUAUAACUCCACUUUUUAAUUGGCCAAAACUGAACCCGAAUGGAGGCAACAUAUAUUGGGCUUCUGAUGGAUAUUUUGAUGGCUUUUGAUUUAACAAACGGAACUUAUACCAGUUUGAGUGAAAUAGAACACAAAAGAUUUCUGGACCAAGGAAUUCCAGCUACAGUAUGCCUUAGUUUCUUGUGUAUCAUAGGAACAAUUGGAAAUAUACACAUGAUAUUGAUACUGAAGAUAUCGCCAGUCAUGGCAAAAUAUUCAAUUCGAGUUUUCAUCAUUUUGCUUUUUUUAACUGAUCUUAUAGCAUGUUUUUAUGCCAUUUGAAAUUUAUAAUAUUCGAUACAGCUACACCACAUCUACCAGUGGUUGCAAAUUUUUCAUUGUCCAAAAGACAAACAGACACAUAAUAGUACACAAGACACAACAUAUAAAACUGAGGGCUAAGCAUCACAAACCCCACCAAAAUCUAGGGGUGAUCCCUGGUGAUCCGGAAGGGUAAGCAGAUCCUGCUCAACAUGUGGCACCCGUCGUGUUGCUCAUGUUACAAAUGUAUUACAAACUCGGUAAAUAGUCUAACUUGGUAGGUCAUAUUCGUAAAAAAGGGAAGAGGAUUGUAGUUAUGACAUAAGGAACAUAUCCGAUAUCCUCUAUGAAACGGUUAUUCCAUAACGAUCAACCAACUCGUAAUGGCGUCCGUAAAAAUCUACAAUGGUUCCAUUUUCAUUAUUAAUUUACUUUUCCUCACGUUUCUUAGUAUAUUGUUGUAAAUCGGUCAGUAUGUCACUAAUUCAGUUUUCUUCGUCUUUUACGUCUAUUUUAAAAUUGUGAUCAAUAACGUGAACAGCAAUGUUUGCCUACAACUAAAACGCUUUGCCCUAUUAGAAUAGUUAUAAUUCAUGGGUGCUUGAAUUUAUAUUGAUUUUAUCACGGGUUUGGCACUUUUACCGAUACUUAACUCCUUUU
Long non-coding RNA from Mytilus californianus (California mussel), 1104 nucleotides. RefSeq lists it as uncharacterized. Lineage: Eukaryota; Metazoa; Mollusca; Bivalvia; Mytilida; Mytilidae. The record is from RefSeq and is a predicted model, not a curated record. The transcript has 3 exons.